This 301-nucleotide ribosomal RNA is filed under the name uncultured bacterium. Its description in RNAcentral is "partial 16S ribosomal RNA". It matches the Rfam family "Bacterial small subunit ribosomal RNA", at positions 509 to 807 of the family's 1533-position model. The record is from RNAcentral.
CAGCAGCCGCGGUAAAACGGAGGGGGCUAGCGUUGUUCGGAAUUACUGGGCGUAAAGCGCACGUAGGCGGCUUGGUAAGUUAGAGGUGAAAGCCUGGAGCUCAACUCCAGAAUUGCCUUUAAGACUGCCGAGCUAGCAGGUGAGAGAGGUAAGUGGAAUUCCGAGUGUAGAGAUGAAAUUCGUAGAUAUUCGGAAGAACACCAGUGGCGAAGGCGGCUUACUGGCUCAUACUGGACGCUGAGGUGCGAAAGCGUGGGGAGCAAACAGGAUUAGAUACCCCGGUAGUCCCUGUCUCUUAUAC